AGAUUCCUCGUUAUUGCAAGGAUGGAGGACAGUGGCAGUGCCCUUGACUCUUCUUUUCCUGUCCUCCAGUGGUGAUUCUCAUCCUGACAAAGCUCUACGACUUCAACUUGGGGAGUGUUACGGAGAGCUCACUGUGGAGGUCAACAGACUAUGGCACUACCUAUGAAAAGCUAAAUGACAAAGUAGGCCUGAAGACUGUGCUGAGCUACCUUUAUGUCAGUCCCACUAACAAGAGGAAGAUCAUGCUUCUUAGUGAUCCAGAGAUUGAGAGCAGCAUCCUCAUCAGCUCUGAUGAAGGGGCAACUUACCAGAAGUACCGUCUGAACUUCUAUAUCCAGAGCUUGCUCUUCCACCCCAAGCAGGAGGAGUGGAUCUUGGCCUACAGUCUGGAUCAAAAGCUGUACAGCUCCAUGGACUUUGGAAGAAAAUGGCAGCUCAUGCAUGAGCGGGUCACUCCAAACAGGUUUUACUGGUCAGUGACGGGCUUGGAUAAAGAACCUGACCUUGUGCACAUGGAAGCCCG
Balearica regulorum gibbericeps (East African grey crowned-crane) is the source of this 523-nucleotide non-coding RNA. The record is from RefSeq and is a predicted model, not a curated record. NCBI's taxonomy places the organism in Eukaryota, Metazoa, Chordata, Aves, Gruiformes, Gruidae.